UGCUUAUCAGAAAGCUUCAAAGUGUUACAGCUGUGGUCAACUGGGGAUGGUGACGCGAGAGCGGAUCAGCCAGGAUGGGUCCCCGUUUGAUGGAUCCCCGGAUAGCCUGAUUCCAGCCAGAGCAGCUCGGGCCCUCGAACUGCCUGUGGAUGCAGAUCUGGGAAACCAAAAAGGGGUCCGCAACCUCUACUUCCAGCAGCGCAGCAGCAAGCAGACGCAGCAGAGCGCCCCGCCUCGCCUCCCGGCAUGUACCGCGCCCCCCGUGCCAGCCCGUCUGGAUUUCUGAAGCCUCGGACUAUCUCUGCUCAUACUGCUUUGCGUGGAACAACGUGGUUCCAAAACUGAGAGAAAGUCAGAUGAAAGACGCUGUAACAGAGACUUUUCUCCGUGGUCCCGCCCCGUGGGUUUCUGGGAGAAAAGUUUACCUUCUGAGUGUUUUAUGCCUUUAACUUUUCCUGUUUGAUUUAAGGAUUGCCCAUGUGCUCUCCCCGCGGUGCCGCGAGAGGACGCCUCCCUCCACUCCAACUCCGGUAGUGAAGGAGCUGGAGGGAUGGCCUGGCGGGGGGUUGGCAGAGCGGCUCGGGUUUCUUGGUCCCGGCUCUUCCCCCUCCCGCUGUGCGGCGCGGCAAGCGCUGCUGUAGGAUUAGCACAGAGCGGCGGGGGAUGGGCGCGGCUUCCUCGCUUCCACGGAGCGGCUUUGUCCUCGCUCCCCACCCUCCCGGGGGCGACGAACGAAAGGCAGGUUCAAGGAAUUACAUCAGAUACCCACCACCUUCCAGGAGUGAAAAGGGACACGUGUUUCAGGAUUUAAGAAGAUACCUAGUGAUGCUAAAGAUCAACAUCUUCAGCUGAUAGACUUUUCCUUGAGUUUCAUUUAUUUGGACUCUAAACCAAAAACUAUUAAUUUUCCAAAAAGAUGUAAUUGUACCUCAUAUAAUAUCUCACACGCCUUUGGUUUGUUUGUAGUUACCAACGGCUGUGGGUCUACUUUGUGGUAAUUGGGAUCUUGUAGAUUUUUAGGAAUCAGGUUCAUCAAGCAAAUUCCUCCAUUGAUAUUGUGAAAAACGAAGUUCACUCCUGUAAAAUUUUAAAACAGUUUAAUAAAGACAAUAAGAGACAUAGAGUAAA
Molecule: long non-coding RNA, 1128 nt
Organism: Parus major (Great Tit)
Lineage: Eukaryota; Metazoa; Chordata; Aves; Passeriformes; Paridae
Exons: 2
Source: RefSeq, a predicted model, not a curated record